This 556-nucleotide ribosomal RNA is filed under the name Podosphaera fuliginea. RNAcentral's name for it is "partial large subunit ribosomal RNA". The stretch from base 218 to 371 matches the Rfam family "5.8S ribosomal RNA". Lineage: Eukaryota; Fungi; Ascomycota; Leotiomycetes; Helotiales; Erysiphaceae. The record is from RNAcentral.
UAGGUGAACCUGCGGAAGGAUCAUUACAGAGUGCGAGGCUUUAGGGUGCGAGUCCGCGGAGCGCAUGCCCUGCGGUGGCUGACCCUCCACCCGUGUGAACUCUUAUCUGUUGCUUUGGCGGGCCGGGCUCGACCUGCCGGCCUCGGCUGGCGCGUGCCCGCCAGAGAAGCCCCAACUCGUGCUGUCAGUGUCGUCUGAGUGAAUGUGGAAUUAGUAAAACUUUCAACAACGGAUCUCUUGGCUCUGGCAUCGAUGAAGAACGCAGCGAAAUGCGAUAAGUAAUGUGAAUUGCAGAAUUUAGUGAAUCAUCGAAUCUUUGAACGCACAUUGCGCCCCCCGGCAUUCCGAGGGGCAUGCCUGUUCGAGCGUCAGAACACCUCUCAAGCCUAGCUUGGUCUUGGGGCUCGCCGGCUCGGCGGCCCCUAAACACAGUGGCGGUGCUGUUGUGCUCUCCGCGUAGUCAUGUAUCUCGCGACAGGGCUGCAGCGGCACCCGCCAGAACCCCAUUUUCUGGAUGACCUCGGAUCAGGUAGGGAUACCCGCUGAACUUAAGCAU